AUCUCAGAUCAAGCAAGAGGACCCGCCGAAUUUAAGCAUAUAAUUAAGCGGAGGAAAAGAAACUAACCAGGAUUCCCCCAGUAAGGGCGACUGAAGCGGGAUGAGCUCAGGAUGUGAAUCUGUGUCUGUCAUGGACACCGAAUUGUGGUCUGUAGACCGUGGCGUUAUCCGCCGGACCAAGUCCCUUGGAAAAGGGCAGCAGAGAGGGUGACACUCCCGUCCGUCUGGUGGAAGGAGCCGCGAGUCAACGAGUCGAGUUGUUUGGGAUUGCAGCUCUAAGCGGGUGGUAAAUUCCAUCUAAAGCUGAAUAUUGGUGGGAGACCGAUAGCGUACAAGUACCGUGAGGGAAAGAUGCAAAGAACUUUGAAAAGAGAGUUAAAGAGUACCUGAAAUUGCUGAAAAGGAAGCGAAGGAAACCAGUGCCGGGCCGAUCAUACUUCCCUCGCCACCUGUGGCUUGGGCGCUGUGGCCGGUCCAUCUGUUUGACUUGGUUGGGUCCUCUGGAAGGGCGCCGUCAGAGUUGAUGUCGGUUGCCAGCAUUGGACCUGACCGAGGGAGACGAAAUGGUUUUCUUUACCCCGUCUUGUAACACGGACCAAGGAGUCUAACAUGUGUGCGAGUCGGCGGGUUUGAAAACCUGCGAGGCGCAAGGAAGCUGACGGGCGAGAUCCCCUCUCUUGGGGGGGUGCAUCGUCGACCGACCUUGAGCUUAUGCGAAGGGUUCGAGUGCGAGCACACCUGUUGGGACCCGAAAGAUGGUGA
Molecule: ribosomal RNA, 762 nt
Filed under: Tryblionella compressa
Lineage: Eukaryota; Bacillariophyta; Bacillariophyceae; Bacillariales; Bacillariaceae
Description: partial Eukaryotic large subunit ribosomal RNA
Rfam family: Eukaryotic large subunit ribosomal RNA
Source: RNAcentral